CAGAGAUAGAAGAUAAGGCUCUGCCCACAGUCUCCAGGCUGCAGCAUCUGGUGAGGAAGGGAAGGUGUAUGGCUGCAUUGUUUUUCUCUUGGUGUUCAACUGGAAUAGAGCAGGAAAUUGCUUUGGAGAUGAGGAAACAAACUCUUAUGGAGACCUAAGAGACUGAAGACAUCUGGCGUGGACUACUCUGAUGGUAAAAUUGAAAGUACACCUAAAUUUGCUUUGUUACAGGAUUCUCUUCAGAGGACAAGAGAAGAUGUUACAUUCUCUGCAUGAGGACAAUUCUGCAGCAUCAAAAUCGAAUAAUAUUUGUUUUCUGGCAGCAGAAUUUUGUAUCAUAUUUCUAAAGACAGUAAGCACUUGGGUGGACGUCAAUGAAUACUAAACACUAAUUGAUCUGAUACAGCCGUAUGCACAUACACAGAUAUACAUGGUGGCUUGUAAUGGUUGAAAAAUUACGGUUUGGUUUUAUUAAAAGAUCUGUCACUUUUAGGUCAGAGUGGGAUUUUGGAGGGAUAGUCUCCCACAAUAGAAAACUACCCUGACAACAGUGGUGUUUUGAGGUUGUUUGUUGUUUGGCUUCUUGAUGAUGCUUAGCUAAGGAGACACUUCCUUUCAGAUUCUGUCUUCCAAACCCCAGGGCUCUGUUCUGGGCAGUUCAGCCUAAUGGAAUUAAGCCUGACAUGUUUCAACUCUAUUUCUUGAUAAAAUAAACAUAAAACAAUGGUUUAGAUUUCGAAUAAAACUCUUGAAGCAUGGGGU
This 762-nucleotide long non-coding RNA is filed under the name Homo sapiens (human). RNAcentral's name for it is "non-protein coding LINC00461:22". The record is from RNAcentral. Lineage: Eukaryota; Metazoa; Chordata; Mammalia; Primates; Hominidae.